This 500-nucleotide unclassified non-coding RNA is filed under the name Hevea brasiliensis (rubber tree). Lineage: Eukaryota; Viridiplantae; Streptophyta; Magnoliopsida; Malpighiales; Euphorbiaceae. The record is from RNAcentral.
AAGGUAAAUUGGCACAUUUCACAAAGGAUGCAAUUCUAGCUUCCAACAAAGUUUUUUCUUACUAAUAAAAACUUUCCAGGUUUUAAAUAUGAAAUAAGAUAUUACUAUCAAAGCUAUAUAGGAAGCCACCAAGUCCUUCAGCUCCAGAAUACAAUCCAGGGUUUCAAGAUAACUACAAGUGACAACUAAAACAAAUUAUGGAUCACAAUUCUAGCAGUGCCAGAAAAAGUGAGCAGUGUAAAGUUAAUCUAGAUGGUACAGAGACUCCUGAAACCACAAUAUUUUUAUGCCUAAAUUCUAUUAUACAAAAAGAUGGUAAAAGUGAAGAGAAUGUAAAUCAUAGGAUCAAAGCAAUGUGUUUGAAAUGAAGAACAACGAAGGCCUAAGGUAACAAUAAAAUCCAAGCAAGUUAAACAACAUCUACAAUACUGCAAUAUGACAGUCAAGUUUUACGGCAGAAGGCAUAGUCAGUUAAAAAAAAUCCUUUAUAAACUUAGCUU